UUACCAGCUUGACAUCAACGAAAAUGUUCGCAACAGGUGCUGCAUGGCCGUCGUCAGCUCGUGUCGUGAGAUGUUUGGUUAAGUCCAGCAACGAGCGCAACCCUGUGACUGUUGCCAGCGUACGGGACUCUGUCAGACUGCCCAGAUCAAUGGGAGGAAGGUGGGGACGACGUCAGGUCAGUAUGGCCCUUACGCUGGGCUGCACACGUACUACAAUGCAGCACAUGAGCCACCGCGAGGGGAGGAAUCUAUAACUGGCCCAGUUCGGAUUGGAGACUGCAACUCGUCUCCAUGAAGUCGGAAUCGCUAGUAAUGCCGAUCAGCACGCGGCGUGAAUACGUUCCCGGGUCUUGUACACACCGCCCGUCACAUCAUGGAAGCCGGCGACCGAA
RNAcentral lists this ribosomal RNA (392 nucleotides) under uncultured bacterium. Its description in RNAcentral is "bacterial SSU rRNA". It matches the Rfam family "Bacterial small subunit ribosomal RNA", at positions 971 to 1425 of the family's 1533-position model. The record is from RNAcentral.